Molecule: transfer RNA, 73 nt
Organism: Cavia porcellus (domestic guinea pig)
Lineage: Eukaryota; Metazoa; Chordata; Mammalia; Rodentia; Caviidae
Rfam family: tRNA
About the family: Transfer RNA (tRNA) molecules are approximately 80 nucleotides in length. Their secondary structure includes four short double-helical elements and three loops (D, anti-codon, and T loops).
Source: Rfam
GGGGGUUUAGCUCAGCGGCAUAAGCGCCUGCCUUAAAAGCAGGCAGUUGUGAGUUCGAUCCCCGGAACCGGUA